RNAcentral lists this ribosomal RNA (276 nucleotides) under uncultured Staphylococcus sp. RNAcentral's name for it is "partial 16S ribosomal RNA". It matches the Rfam family "Bacterial small subunit ribosomal RNA", at positions 505 to 781 of the family's 1533-position model. The record is from RNAcentral. Lineage: Bacteria; Bacillati; Bacillota; Bacilli; Caryophanales; Staphylococcaceae.
GUGCCAGCCGCCGCGGUAAUACGUAGGUGGCAAGCGUUAUCCGGAAUUAUUGGGCGUAAAGCGCGCGUAGGCGGUUUUUUAAGUCUGAUGUGAAAGCCCACGGCUCAACCGUGGAGGGUCAUUGGAAACUGGAAAACUUGAGUGCAGAAGAGGAAAGUGGACUCCAUGUGUAGCGGUGAAAUGCGCAGAGAUAUGGAGGAACACCAGUGGCGAAGGCGACUUUCUGGUCUGUAACUGACGCUGAUGUGCGAAAGCGUGGGGAUCAGACAGGAUUAG